This 468-nucleotide ribosomal RNA is filed under the name uncultured bacterium. RNAcentral's name for it is "partial 16S ribosomal RNA". It matches the Rfam family "Bacterial small subunit ribosomal RNA", at positions 28 to 507 of the family's 1533-position model. The record is from RNAcentral.
GACGAACGCUGGCGGCGUGCUUAACACAUGCAAGUCGAACGGAAAGGCCCUGCUUUUGUGGGGUGCUCGAGUGGCGAACGGGUGAGUAACACGUGAGUAACCUGCCCUUGACUUUGGGAUAACUUCAGGAAACUGGGGCUAAUACCGGAUAGGAGCUCCUGCUGCAUGGUGGGGGUUGGAAAGUUUCGGCGGUUGGGGAUGGACUCGCGGCUUAUCAGCUUGUUGGUGGGGUAGUGGCUUACCAAGGCUUUGACGGGCAGCCGGCCUGAGAGGGUGACCGGCCACAUUGGGACUGAGAUACGGCCCAGACUCCUACGGGAGGCAGCAGUGGGGAAUAUUGCACAAUGGGCGGAAGCCUGAUGCAGCAACGCCGCGUGCGGGAUGACGGCCUUCGGGUUGUAAACCACUUUCGCCUGUGACGAAGCGUGAGUGACGGUAAUGGGUAAAGAAGCACCGGCUAACUACGUG